GGCGGCUCAGUGGUAGGGUGCUUGCCUUGCAUGCAGGAGGCCCUGGGUUCGAUUCCUCAGCACCA
RNAcentral lists this transfer RNA (65 nucleotides) under Dipodomys ordii (Ord's kangaroo rat). It matches the Rfam family "tRNA". From Rfam's summary of the family: Transfer RNA (tRNA) molecules are approximately 80 nucleotides in length. Lineage: Eukaryota; Metazoa; Chordata; Mammalia; Rodentia; Heteromyidae. The record is from Rfam by way of RNAcentral.